Molecule: transfer RNA, 59 nt
Filed under: Crypturopus tuberculatus
Lineage: Eukaryota; Metazoa; Arthropoda; Malacostraca; Amphipoda; Micruropodidae
Description: tRNA-Thr
Source: RNAcentral
GUCUUUGUAGUUUAUAUAAAACCUUAGUCUUGUAAACUAAAAUUGGGCCCCCAUAGACU